This 253-nucleotide ribosomal RNA is filed under the name uncultured bacterium. Its description in RNAcentral is "partial 16S ribosomal RNA". It matches the Rfam family "Bacterial small subunit ribosomal RNA", at positions 524 to 776 of the family's 1533-position model. The record is from RNAcentral.
UACGUAGGGGGCAAGCGUUGUCCGGAGUCAUUGGGCGUAAAGCGCGUGUAGGCGGCUCGGUAAGUCUGCUGUGAAAGUCCAGGGCUCAACCCUGGGAUGCCGGUGGAUACUGUCGAGCUCGAGUCCGGAAGAGGCGAGUGGAAUUCCUGGUGUAGAGGUGAAAUUCGUAGAUAUCAGGAGGAACACCAGUGGCGAAGGCGGCUUUCUGGACGGUAACUGACGCUGAGACGCGAAAGCGUGGGGAGCAAACAGG